CGCAAAAGGGAGGCAGUGACACUACAAACAACUCAAACAAGCAAAGUGAAACAACGGGCCAAGGAACUCUCAACGCGAAGGAUGUGGACAACGCUCUGUGAAUACAAACAAACUAGAUCAACGACACUUAGUUUCAUGUUGCCAGCGUGUGCCAAGAAGAAAAAUGCUACUAGAUUGGAGAGAUUUUGUGUCAACGUUUUGGAGAGAUUGUCAGUGCU
This is a long non-coding RNA of Selaginella moellendorffii, 218 nucleotides long. RefSeq lists it as uncharacterized. The transcript is spliced from 2 exons. NCBI's taxonomy places the organism in Eukaryota, Viridiplantae, Streptophyta, Lycopodiopsida, Selaginellales, Selaginellaceae. The record is from RefSeq and is a predicted model, not a curated record.